GGGAGGCCAAGGCAGGCGGCAUGCUUCGCCGGGUGGUCAGAGCUAUUCGCCCAUAGUCCGUAGCCCAGAGCCGGGGCUGCUCGGCUCUCCGUCCCGGGGGGCCGGGGCCGGGCUGGAGGCGUGCGAGCCUCUCAUCGCUGCCUCCCAGCGCAGCCACCCGAGCCGCUGCCGCCGCCGCCGCCUCCCUCCAUGGCUCAGCAAAACCAUCCUUUCAUCUUUUCGUCUCAUCAUUUCUUCAUUUCAUUUCAUCUUUUCAUCUCAUUUCAUUUCAUCAAUUCAUCAUUUCAUCUCAUCAUUUCAUCUCAUUUCAUUUCACUUCAUUUGUUGCAUUUCAUUUCAUCAUUUCAUUUCAUCACUUCAUCUCAAUAUUUCAUUUCGUCACUUCACUUCAUCUCAUUUCAUCAUUUCAUCUCAUGAUUUCAUUUCAUCUCAUUUCAUCUUUUCAUCUCGUCAUUUCAUUUCAUCUUUUCAUCUCAUCAUUUCAUCAAUUCAUCAUUUCAUCUUUUCAUUUCAUUUCAUCAUUUCAUUUCACUUCACUAUUUCAUUUCAUUAUUUCAUUUCACCAUUUCAUGUCAUCAUUUCAUUUCAUCAUUCCAUUUCAUCAUUUCAUUUCAUUUCAUCAUCAUUUCAUCUCAUUAUUUCAUUUCUUCGUUUCAUCAUUUCGUUUCAUUUCAUCAUUUCAUUUCAUCAUUUCAUCAUUUCUUUUCAUUUCAGUGAUACAUGUAUUUAAUUGCUAAUGCGAUGCUCAGGAGACACCCUAUUUCCCUUUGUAAAACACCUCCUUCAACAAAAGGCAACUUCUCAUGGCUGGCUAAGUCUACAGGGAUACCAGCCUCUCUUCAAC
Molecule: long non-coding RNA, 844 nt
Filed under: Pan troglodytes (chimpanzee)
Lineage: Eukaryota; Metazoa; Chordata; Mammalia; Primates; Hominidae
Description: lncRNA (ENSPTRG00000054284.1)
Source: RNAcentral